UUUUAAAACAAACAGACGCAGUAAUCUGGCGGUCCACGCUAAGUUACGAAGUGCAUGUUUUUUUCUUUUUGUCGCCGACUACAGAGUGACAUAGGUUUUAUCCAAAAAGUUGAAAUACAAAUAGUGUUUAAGUAGGUAUUUGCUUUAUGACGGAUUAUUUCACUAAUUAGAUUUGAUUAGUACAAAAUGUCUGAACACGUUGAUCCUUUCAAAAGCAAACCAUCUGGGUCAAAAUAUAGAAAACGAAAAGCAGAAAAAGAAAAGGAAUUUGAAAAAACAAAAAAGUUUAUGAAUAUAGGCAAAUAUAUUAUCACAACAAAAAAUCAAGACCUUAAUGUGGCAUCUACAUCUGAAAUACAAGCGAAUGCAUCGGUAGUGGAGUCUCUGUCUGACAAGUCAGAUCAGUUAGCUGUUGAAGAGAUUGUGGACGAAGUUUCCCGAAGUGAGGAGACAAGUUGUGUUACAAUUACAGAUGCUGCUCAGGAUGACACUAUUGGUGAUGUACAACAAAUACAAAUUCUAGAUGACGUUAGUUCUCUUGUUCCAAAUAUAUCGGAUCCAGCCACUUGGCCACUCACUCGAAAUAGCAAAAUUAUUGAUCA
Molecule: long non-coding RNA, 602 nt
Organism: Ostrinia furnacalis (Asian corn borer)
Lineage: Eukaryota; Metazoa; Arthropoda; Insecta; Lepidoptera; Crambidae
Exons: 2
Source: RefSeq, a predicted model, not a curated record